Entelurus aequoreus (snake pipefish) is the source of this 750-nucleotide long non-coding RNA. RefSeq lists it as uncharacterized. The record is from RefSeq and is a predicted model, not a curated record. The transcript is spliced from 3 exons. NCBI's taxonomy places the organism in Eukaryota, Metazoa, Chordata, Actinopteri, Syngnathiformes, Syngnathidae.
UGUUGCUGGACAACCGCACAUGUGCCCCAGCCUUCGCCUGCUUAGUGAGCAUGCCACUUUCUCUGUGAGCCACAAUCCUAUUACCCCUCCACGGCCCCGUGGUGGGCGAUAAGAGCAGUGCGACGCCCUGCAAAGACGGAGCGCUGAGCCCCCAUUUGCUGCGUGUUUUUGGUCGGGGCCCCAGGGGGGAGGUGGCAGCAGUGCUUAAAUGGCCCUAUAAUGCUGACAACAUUGGCAGGUAUUUGUCGCGGCUUGGGCGCAUUCCAUUGCGCAUUCAUCCGUGCGCUCCGCUGAGCACACCUCCAAAUGCGCACCUGCACGCGUCACUCCUGCAAUCACACAUCUGACGCUGAUGAGUUCCCUGUGCUUCUCAAGCCACGCAGACCUGCGUUCCGGGCCGCAACAUUCCUCCAUUCUCUGGUUACGAGCAGUGUGUCUUGUCUCCCCGUAUUCCCUCUGGUUCCCUGGCUGCCCUUUCGGAUCUCCGCCUCCCGCCUGGACACGAACUUUUGAAGCCUCGCUCUUGACCUUGACCCCCUGCCUGUCCCUGGAUCUCCGAGCUUGCCUUGCCUUCUUGGACUUCUGCACCUCGCUCAACGCUCCUGGUAACACGACUCAGUUAAUCCCUACCUAUAGUCACACUGUACACAUUUUGGGUUAGUUUCACACUUCAUAAUAGUAUAUAUUAAUAAACAGAGCUAAAAUGACGUCCUUCUUCCCCGCUGUACCGUAACAGUAUUUAAAUAAUUU